RNAcentral lists this transfer RNA (61 nucleotides) under Haemaphysalis tibetensis. Its description in RNAcentral is "tRNA-Phe". Lineage: Eukaryota; Metazoa; Arthropoda; Arachnida; Ixodida; Ixodidae. The record is from RNAcentral.
AUCUUUAUAGUUUAUAAUUAAAAUAUUACACUGAAAAUGUAAAGAAAAUUUGUUAAAGAUA